UGGGGAAUAUUGCACAAUGGGGGAAACCCUGAUGCAGCGACGCCGCGUGAGCGAAGAAGGUUUUCGAAUCGUAAAGCUCUGUCCUAUGAGAAGAUAAUGACGGUAUCAUAGGAGGAAGCCCCGGCUAAAUACGUGCCAGCAGCCGCGGUAAUACGUAUGGGGCGAGCGUUGUCCGGAAUUAUUGGGCGUAAAGGGUACGUAGGCGGUCUAUUAAGUCAGGUGUGAAAGCGUGAGGCUUAACCUCAUUAAGCACUUGAAACUGAUAGACUUGAGUGAAGGAGAGGAAAGUGGAAUUCCUAGUGUAGCGGUGAAAUGCGUAGAUAUUAGGAGGAAUACCGGUGGCGAAGGCGGCUCUCUGGUCUGUAACUGACGCUGAGGCUCGAAAGCGUGGGGAGCGAACAGG
RNAcentral lists this ribosomal RNA (403 nucleotides) under Verrucomicrobiota bacterium. RNAcentral describes it as "Verrucomicrobia bacterium partial 16S ribosomal RNA". It matches the Rfam family "Bacterial small subunit ribosomal RNA", at positions 355 to 776 of the family's 1533-position model. The record is from RNAcentral. Lineage: Bacteria; Pseudomonadati; Verrucomicrobiota.